This 533-nucleotide unclassified non-coding RNA is filed under the name Hevea brasiliensis (rubber tree). Lineage: Eukaryota; Viridiplantae; Streptophyta; Magnoliopsida; Malpighiales; Euphorbiaceae. The record is from RNAcentral.
GCAAGGGUGUGCUACAUUGUGCCAUAAUUGCUCCACCUGACUUGUCUCGCCAGUCGCCGGCGACGAAGAAGUUGUGAAUCGGAAUAACCAAUAAUGAGGGCCGUGGUCCAGCGUGUUGCUUCAGCCAGCGUAGAGGUCGAGGGGCGUACGGUAUCAGCAAUCGGGCCGGGCUUGCUGGUUCUCGUCGGGCUUCAUGAAUCAGACGUUGAUUCCGAUGCUGACUACAUAUGCCGGAAAGUGUUGAAUAUGAGAUUGUUCCCAAAUGAGGAAACUGGAAAGACAUGGGAUCACAGUGUAGUUCAGAAGAAUUAUGAAGUUCUAUUAGUGAGUCAGUUUACACUAUAUGGGAUUUUGAAGGGAAACAAGCCUGAUUUUCAUGUCGCAAUGCCUCCUGAGAAAGCAAAACCCUUCUAUGCCUCUCUGGUUGAGAAAUUCCAUAAAGCUUACAAACAGGAUGCCGUCAAAGAUGGUGUCUUUGGAGCAAAGAUGAAGGUCAAUUUGGUCAAUGACGGUCCUGUGACAAUGAAUCUUGA